AACGAACGCUGGCGGCAGGCUUAACACAUGCAAGUCGAACGGUUGUAGCAAUACAGCAGUGGCAGACGGGUGAGUAACACGUGGGAACCUUCCUAGGGGUACGGAACAACUCAGGGAAACUUGAGCUAAUACCGUAUACGUCCGUGAGGAGAAAGAUUUAUCGCCCUUAGACGGGCCCGCGUAGGAUUAGGUAGUUGGUGGGGUAAUGGCCUACCAAGCCUACGAUCCUUAGCUGAUCUGAGAGGAUGAUCAGCCACACUGGGACUGAGACACGGCCCAGACUCCUACGGGAGGCAGCAGUGGGGAAUCUUGGACAAUGGGCGCAAGCCUGAUCCAGCCAUGCCGCGUGAGUGAAGAAGGCCUGGUU
RNAcentral lists this ribosomal RNA (367 nucleotides) under uncultured bacterium. RNAcentral describes it as "bacterial SSU rRNA". It matches the Rfam family "Bacterial small subunit ribosomal RNA", at positions 29 to 424 of the family's 1533-position model. The record is from RNAcentral.